GACGAACGCUGGCGGCGUGCCUAAUACAUGCAAGUAGAACGCUGAAGGAGGAGCUUGCUUCUCUGGAUGAGUUGCGAACGGGUGAGUAACGCGUAGGUAACCUGCCUGGUAGCGGGGGAUAACUAUUGGAAACGAUAGCUAAUACCGCAUAAGAGUAGAUGUUGCAUGACAUUUGCUUAAAAGGUGCAAUUGCAUCACUACCAGAUGGACCUGCGUUGUAUUAGCUAGUUGGUGGGGUAACGGCUCACCAAGGCGACGAUACAUAGCCGACCUGAGAGGGUGAUCGGCCACACUGGGACGGAGACACGGCCCAGACGCCUACGGGAGGCAGCAGGAGGGAAUCUUCGGCAAGGGACGGAAGUCUGACCGAGCAACGCCGCGUGAGGGAAGAAGGUUGUCGGAUCGUAAAGCUCUGUUGUAAGAGAAGAACGAGUGUGAGAGUGGAAAGUUCACACUGUGACGGUAUCUUACCAGAAAGGGACGGCUAACUACGUG
This 495-nucleotide ribosomal RNA is filed under the name uncultured bacterium. RNAcentral's name for it is "partial 16S ribosomal RNA". It matches the Rfam family "Bacterial small subunit ribosomal RNA", at positions 28 to 507 of the family's 1533-position model. The record is from RNAcentral.